Molecule: long non-coding RNA, 2903 nt
Organism: Alexandromys fortis (reed vole)
Lineage: Eukaryota; Metazoa; Chordata; Mammalia; Rodentia; Cricetidae
Exons: 4
Source: RefSeq, a predicted model, not a curated record
CAACCCAGCAGCCACCCAGGUCCAGAAAUAGGGCUUUGAGUUGGCCCACCCCAACAUCCACCCCAUCUGUGAUCUGCCGGAGCUCGUGAAGGGACUGGUCCAUGACACAGGACGACAGGAUAGCCAAGAGGAGUCCCGCAAAAGAUUCAUAAGCUGGCCAGCCUGGAACACCUGGUAACGCGGACCCAGAGAAGCCGCCACGGGAGAGAGAGAGAGGACAGACAGCUGCAGCUAGCUGGAUCAAAAGUGUUCCAUGGGUAUGCAAAUUUGUGGGGCCCCGCCCUGUGGACGAGGGUGGAAGCGGCACUUCACGCAGUGCCGGGCCUGGCCGCCAGAGGGCGACGCCGAGAACUGGCUAAGAGUGGAUCUGCACUCAGUCCAGGACUCAGGUUUUACGAGCAAGAAUGCCGCUUGGAAAGAAGCUGCUCACUCUCCCCACACUAUCUCCAAAGUCCUGGGCCAGAGACUUUACCUGCAGGGAGAAGACUGAUGGCUUCCCAAAGGAACGGACUUCAUUUGUAACAGAGCAUCGUGAAGCCUCUGGCAAACAGUUGGGAUGUAGUAUGGCUCAAUGAUAGGGCACCUUCCCAGUAUGGGAGAGGCUUCGGGUUUAAUCCCUAGCAAGGCAAAUAACAAUGAUAAUAAAAAGAACAAUAAUCAUAAUAAUAACUAGAGAAAUAAACUGGAGUGGUCUGGAGCAUUGUGGAGAAGAGCAAUUGGGAGACUGACUGUCUCACUGGAUUUAUGGGCUCAUCUGUAGGCUGGGCAGACUUCCAGGAAGGUAAACACAGCGUAUGAACACUGACUCAGGGAGCGAUCCCUUCCAAGGAGCCCAAAACAACUCCUGAGUGAACUUUAACAGCUGGAUGUGGUCAGGGACAGACACAUGAAAGGUCUGCAAAAAAUACUGCCCCAGCACUUGUGAGGCUGAGGCAGGAGGAUUGCUGCACGUAUGAGGCCAGCCUUGGCUGAACAUAGAGUUCCAGGACAGCCUACGCAGAAUGAGACCCUGGCUCAUAAAACCAAAACCAUGUAACAAAAAACAAGCCAAGUGUGGUAGUGGCAUAUGUCUUUAAUCCCAUUACUCGGGAAGUAGAGGCAGGAGGAUCCCUAUGAGUUUGAGGCUACCCUGGUCUACAUGGUUAAGAUCUAGCACAGUGAGGGCUACGUUGUUAGAACUUGUCUUAAAAAACAACAAGCCAAAACUCAAACAAACAUACAAUCCUACAAAAACCCUCAUUGUUAUGCUAAAGUCACUGUGAGCACCUCCCUAUAGUCACUGUGAGUACACCCCUUAUAGUCACUGUGAGCACACCCCUAUAGUCACUGUGAGCACACCCCUAUAGUCACUGUGAGCACACCCCCUAUAGUCACUGUGAGCACACCCCUAUAGUCACUGUGAGCACACCCCCUGCAGUCACUGUGAGCACACCCCUAUAGACACUGUGAGCACACCCCCUGCAGUCACUGUGAGCACACCCCUAUAGACACUGUGAGCACCUCCCUAUAGUCACUGUGAGCACACCCCUAUAGACAUUGUGAGCACAUCCCUAUAGUCACUGUGAGCACACCCCUGCAGUCACUGUGAGCACACCCCUAUAGUCACUGUGAGCACACCCCUAUAGACACUGUGAGCACACCCCUAUAGUCACUGUGAACACACCCCUAUAGACACUGUGAGCACACCCCUAUAGUCACUGUGAACACACCCCUAUAGACACUGUGAGCACACCCCUAUAGUCACUGUGAACACACCCCCUGCAGUCACUGUGAGCACACCCCUGCAGUCACUGGAGCACACCCCUAUAGACACUGUGAGCACACCCCUAUAGACAUUGUGAGCACACCCCUAUAGUCACUGUGAACACACCCCCUGCAAUCACUGUGAGCACACCCCUAUAGUCACUGUGAGCACACCCCUAUAGACAUUGUGAGCACAUCCCUAUAGUCACUGUGAACACACCCCCUGCAAUCACUGUGAGCACACCCCUGCAGUCACUGGAGCACACCCUCUGCUGUGAGGCAGGAGUCUCACCGUGAGAGGCACGGAAGGGGUGAGAUGGAUUUGCUUCCCUCCACUGACAUCCCUGAAUAAAUAAACAAGCAGACAAUAAUUACACACCCCAGAAACAGGAGAACAUGCUACAGUGUAAUCUCUGAAAUGUCUUUUCUCCAAACAACAGGCAUUACAAGGCAGGAAAAGAAACAGGAAAACAUGACUCAUACAGCGAAGAGCAAACAAAGGCAGGCGGCAGAGCCUGCCUGCGCAAGAGGGCAGAGGUCAGGACCGACAGACACAGCCUUCGAAGUCACUGUUAUAAACAAGGAGUCAAAGGAAGAGAAGACCGGUCAGAGGACAAUGUCGCGUCAGGAGAAAGAGAAAUGGUUUUGUUCAAGGUCAGCAAGGGCCACACAGUUCCAGGCCAGCCUGGGUUACAGAGUAAGACCAAAAAGAAAAUAACUGAAAAUUUCAUAAACUUGUGGCUGGGUGUGGUGGCGCACGCCUUUAAUUCCAGCACUUAGGAAACAGAGACAGGCAGAUCUCUCUGAGUUCGAGGCCAGUCUGGUCUACAGAGCAAGUUCCAGGACAGUCAGGGUUGUUACACAGAGAAACCCUGUAUCAAAAAUCAAAAACAAAAAUGUUUAAAGUUAAAUUAAAAAUAAAUAAAUAAACAAGCUUGUUGUUACCAGCAUGGUGGCGCAUGCCUUUAAUCUCAGCACACAUGCACACUCAGGCACACGCACAUGCCUACAAACACAAAUCCCAAAAACCCACAAACAACAAAACAACAAAGCAAAAACAAAAACAAAAAAUCUGCUAGACUUCCAGAAGGCCCAAUUAACUUCAAGUAGAAUAAAUACAGAGAAAUCAUCUUGGCAAAAAUACUGAGAGUCAAAGACCA